RNAcentral lists this ribosomal RNA (235 nucleotides) under uncultured bacterium. Its description in RNAcentral is "partial 16S ribosomal RNA". It matches the Rfam family "Bacterial small subunit ribosomal RNA", at positions 99 to 334 of the family's 1533-position model. The record is from RNAcentral.
CAAACGGGUGCGGAACACGUACGCAACCUUCCUUUAACUGGAGAAUAGCCCCUCGAAAGAGGGAUUAAUACUCCGUAACAUAUUGAUAAGGCAUCUUAUUAAUAUUAUAGCUCCGGCGGUUAAAGAUGGGCGUGCGCCUGAUUAGAUAGUUGGCGGGGUAACGGCCCACCAAGCCAUCGAUCAGUAACUGGUGUGAGAGCACGACCAGUCACACGGGCACUGAGACACGGGCCCG